Sander lucioperca (pikeperch) is the source of this 258-nucleotide long non-coding RNA. RefSeq lists it as uncharacterized. NCBI's taxonomy places the organism in Eukaryota, Metazoa, Chordata, Actinopteri, Perciformes, Percidae. The transcript is spliced from 3 exons. The record is from RefSeq and is a predicted model, not a curated record.
GAAAGCGCAACUGUAGUAUCCAUUUUCCGCUAGAAAUUCAAUUGUUAUAAACUUUAGAGACAAAACUUUCCUAAUAUGCCAGUUUCUGCUGUCAUGGAAGAUGAACGUCCGGCAUGAUUUUGGUGCACGCGAGGAACGUGUUUUUGUUGUUACGUCACAGGGUGUGAAUAGCUCAGCUGUGUGGCCGAGGCUAUUCGUACCAGGGGUGCAAAUAGACACUCCGUUAAAGCACUCCGUUAAAUACCUGUACAUUUUUAU